Molecule: ribosomal RNA, 506 nt
Filed under: uncultured Fibrobacter sp.
Lineage: Bacteria; Pseudomonadati; Fibrobacterota; Fibrobacteria; Fibrobacterales; Fibrobacteraceae
Description: bacterial SSU rRNA
Rfam family: Bacterial small subunit ribosomal RNA
Source: RNAcentral
ACCAAGGCGACGAUCGGUAGCCGGCCUGAGAGGGUGAUCGGCCACAUUGGGACUGAGAUACGGCCCAGACUCCUACGGGAGGCAGCAGUAGGGAAUAUUGCACAAUGGGGGAAACCCUGAUGCAGCAACGCCACGUGUGGGAAGAAGCAUUUCGGUGUGUAAACCACUGUCAUGAGGGAAUAAGGCCCGCCUUCGGACGGGAUUGAAUGUACCUUGAGAGGAAGCACCGGCAAACUUCGUGCCAGCAGCCGCGGUAAUACGAGGGGUGCAAGCGUUGUUCGGAAUUACUGGGCGUAAAGGGAGCGUAGGCGGAAGAGCAAGCGGACUGUACAAUCCCGGGGCCCAACCCCGGUCCUGCAGUCCGGACUGCUUUUCUUGGAUAGUUCAGGGGCAGGCGGAAUUCCUGGUGUAGCGGUGGAAUGCGUAGAGAUCAGGAAGAACACCGAUGGCGAAGGCAGCCUGCUGGGGACUUUAUCGACGCUGAGGCUCGAAAGUGCGGGUAGCAA